Triticum aestivum (bread wheat) is the source of this 2224-nucleotide long non-coding RNA. RefSeq lists it as uncharacterized. Lineage: Eukaryota; Viridiplantae; Streptophyta; Magnoliopsida; Poales; Poaceae. The record is from RefSeq and is a predicted model, not a curated record. The transcript is spliced from 2 exons.
CUCUCCCCGACCUCUCAUCUCUCUCCCACGAUGUGUGCACCGCCGCCAGGUCCGUUGCUCAUCUGGUUAAUCCCGACGGGCAUAUUUUCUUUCUGCUCUACCUCAGGAGACCUCCUCCCCUGAGCGCUCCCCUCCCUCAGGAGACCUCCUCCCCGACCUCUCGUUUUCUCUACCGACGGCCAAACUGGUGGUGUACCGCCGCCGUCCCGGCGCUGAAGCCGGCGAGAUCCUGCGUCCCCAUCAUGACCCGGAUUCCCUAUGCCACCAGUACGCCGGACACCUCAAGGUACCCCUACCCCCCACCCCCGCCCGCGGCGUCCGCCGAUCUCCGCACCCUAGGAGCUCCCUCACGCUAUCAGCCUUCGGAGCCUUCAGAUCUGAUUUCACAUUAUGGUCGUCUCUAGCCGAUGGAUGCAAAGCUCCCGACCCCGCAGGUCGCAUCUUGGUGAGGGCAGCUAUUCCCGUAACUUUUUCUGACUAAUCUGGUUAAUUGGGCCAAACAGCCCAUAUAGCAAGGGAGCAUUCCAUGAGCGGUCCAAAAAGCAUCGAACCGAUCGAUCUCGGGCGAUUGGUGUGCUCGCUAACCCUAACCAAGGCGGAUGCUGCGUCCGCUCAAUUCAGGCGAAGUGGGCGACCGCCUCGUGCCACUCGCGAGGGAAUCUAGCUUGAGGGGAUCAAGCGGAAGCGCCAGAUGCGGGUGAACCGAGGGCCGAUCGAUCCAGGUGUCGGGCGGUCAUUAGAACCGAGGACUGAGUCUUCCUGAUGUUCAACCCAUAAGAAUGACCGUGGUGUGUGAUACAGCGUGUUCACGUGCUUGAAAGAAAUAGUUUUCUCAUUCUUUUAGCUGUUCUUUGUUUUGCUACUCCUAACCUAAGUGUGUGUGAUAUUAAGAGAUUAUGUAUAUAUGAGUAAUGGGUUGUUCUCCGGUGGCUGUCGCCCAAUUAAUUAGUUCAUUCACAUGGACUGCCAUACCAUUAUCUUUAUGUUUAGUAUCCAUGUAUUAAGGAUGUACGAUUGCUUAGUUUAUGUUUCUAUAUCAUUGAUGCCAUGGUACUGUUUUUUACUGUAUGCGGCAGUUUCCUUUCAUGAAGGUGUGAAGCGGCCGUGACAAACCCCUCCUACCGUGAUGGCGUUAGGUGAAUGGCUUGAUGAUGCCAAGAAGAUUAAUAUCGAGUGAAACUUUGCCCAUAAUCUAUGCCAAGAAAAAAUGUGCAUGAAACUUAGGUAUUGACUUAAGUUUCCGGUUUUUUGAGUGACCGAGGAUGAAAUUUUUCACCAUGCAAGUGACUAUACAUUGGCUUCUCUAUGUUCUGCGCUCUUCUUCAAUGGAUAAUAUUGCAACUGAUUAGCAGAAUUGGGAGACUUUUAAUACCAUCGGUAUUAAUUCGUGAUUGAUUUUAUUUUAGGUAUGUUUUUUCCACUUCUGAACUCCAUUUCAAUCCUAUACAUUUUCUCUUGAUUCUAUCCGGUUAGGUCAAUGAGGUUUACAAGGUACAAAGCUUCACGGGGACUCAUCUUAUUCUUCUUGGGAUGCAAAAGGGUGAAGUUAGUUGAUAUUUCAUAAUUAAUUAAAAACAGGCCAGGGGGAUUAGAACAUGUGUUCUAUCUAUAGGUACUAUUUGGGAGAUGAUCAGUUAUGGUAAGUUGUAAAAUUUAUAUAUUUGGGUGAUGGUUCUAUCAUGCUUAGUUAAAACUUGCAUGUCAACAAACCAUCUGACGCUGCAACUGACACAUGGGUAUUGCAGAUAAUGCGUCAUGGGUACUUUUCUUCUAAUAUUAUGAUACAGUAAUUCCCUUUUGGUCCAACGAUCUUCUGCGAGGAUUCACUAACUCUGAUUCUUUUUUGUGUUCUGUAGACAAUGCCUGAUCCGUAUUAUGAUACUAGAUCGGUUGUUGUGGCUGUACUGUACCACAUAUUUAGGCACUACUAUAGUCGCUUAAGUGUGCUUUUAAAAGUAAAUUGUAUGGCUACCUAUUAUUAGAGAUUUAGAAAACUAUGGUCUCUUCAGCAGCUUUCUUCCAAAAAAGAAGGCCCUUCAGAAGCUACUGCAUGUAUAUGGUCAGAUUAAUUAUAUACAUAUUUUUGUCCUUUAAUUUCAAAUGCUUAGGAAUCAUCUGCGGAAGUACUGUAGAUUGUAACCCUGUAGGUGCUGAACUAAAUGCCAAUCCAAGCAAGAGUGUAAGGAAGAUAAUAUAUGUUUUGAUCUGCCGAGAGGUCAUGCAA